RNAcentral lists this ribosomal RNA (513 nucleotides) under Clostridium sp. enrichment culture clone CIBANICRA-SRB25. RNAcentral describes it as "bacterial SSU rRNA". It matches the Rfam family "Bacterial small subunit ribosomal RNA", at positions 265 to 795 of the family's 1533-position model. The record is from RNAcentral. Lineage: Bacteria; Bacillati; Bacillota; Clostridia; Eubacteriales; Clostridiaceae.
CCUCCAAGGCAACGAUGCGUAGCCGACCUGAGAGGGUGAUCGGCCACAUUGGGACUGAGACACGGCCCAGACUCCUACGGGAGGCAGCAGUGGGGAAUAUUGCGCAAUGGGGGAAACCCUGACGCAGCAACGCCGCGUGAGUGAUGAAGGUUUUCGGAUCGUAAACCUCUGUCUUUAGGGACGAAAAUGACGGUGCCUAAGGAGGAAGCCACGGGUAACUACGUGCCAGCAGCCGCGGUAAUACGUAGGUGGCAAGCGUUGUCCUGAUUUACUGGGCGUAAAGAGUAUGUAGGUGGGUGCUUAAUUCAGAUGUGAAAUUCCCGGGCUCAACCUGGGAGCUGCAUUUGAAACUUGGCAUCUGGAGUGCAAGAGAGGACAGUGGAGUUCCUAGUGUAGCGGUGAAAUGCGUAGAGAUUAUGAAGAACACCAGUGGCGAAGGCGACUUUCUGGACUGUAACUGACACUGAGAUACGAGAGCGUGGGUAGCAAACAAGAUUAGAUACCCUGGGAAUC